Molecule: long non-coding RNA, 6897 nt
Filed under: Ananas comosus (pineapple)
Lineage: Eukaryota; Viridiplantae; Streptophyta; Magnoliopsida; Poales; Bromeliaceae
Description: long non-coding RNA (ACOM_LNC032649)
Source: RNAcentral
AAAGUGCAUUACGGCUUCGCAAGUCUCGGUGGCAGCGUAAGUUGACUGUAACAUACCAGAUUUUGGUAUAAAAAUAAAAAUAAAUAAAAAUAGUGUGAGAAGCUAUUUUUAUUGAAUUUAGAGAAGUAAAAUAUAAGUCAGAAGUGACUUGUGCUGAAAUCGGAAUGAAAACAGAAGAUUUAUAAUUUUAUGUUGGAAACGGGACAGGUAAAUUAGCAGAAAAUGCACAGUCUCAGAAAAUUAUGAAAAAUGAAGGAUAAGUCAGAAAUAUUUUUAUGAGGCUAGAUUUCAAGUUUCAUAUUUUUCUUACACCCGUAGAGUGAGAAAUAAAAUCCGACAGCUAUCUGAUAAAGAUUACAGUUCGGUACAGUUUUCAGUGACCAAAUGGGGUCGAAACUGAAAACUUAAAAUAUAUUCUUACUCAGUACGUAAAACCGAAUAUGACUGUCAAGUUUGAGCUCAAACGGACAUUCAGAGAGUUCCGGCGAAAGUUAUCAGAUUUCAAGCUGCUUGGAAGUGAAUAGUGUUGGGGUGUAAUUAAAAUAGAAGCUCUUGGCUUCUUCUUCCCCAACCAGCCGCACACACACACCCGCACGCCACACACACACGCAUGGAAAGAGGGAGAAAGAGAAACCUCCCAUUUUCUCUUUAAAUCUCUCCCAAAAUUGAUGAAUUUGGUGGAGAAGCAAGCUUGGAGGUUGAUCUUCAUCUCCUUUAUCUUCUUCUUCUCCAUUAAAGCAAGCUUUGAAGGUAAGCUUCAAAAUCCUUUAAUGGCAUUUCUCUCUAGUUUAGUUUUUAAGCUUUAAGAAUGGGUUUAGAGGUAUUCUAGCAUGCUAAUUAGAGGUUUGAUGCUUGAAACCAAGGCCCUAAUAGUGGGUUUUUACCUAAUAGUAAACCUAGGGCUCAAAAAUGCUAGUUUUGUAAAUAUGAGGGUUUGAUCUCAUUUGACCCUCCGUAAAUCUAAUUGCUAGGUAAACGAACGUGUUGGCGAAGACGGUUCGGCGAUUCGUUGAGCCGUUGCGAAGUUAUUAAAGAAACGGACGUUUAGGCUUCGUUUCUGCCUGGAGGGCCGAGGCGACAUCGUAAACCCAUGAAAUCGGAUUUGAAGCAUCGUGGCACACAACCGAAGACCUUUAAUUUUCGGAUCGUGAAUUGGAGGCCGUUCGGAUGGUCGCACGAGAGAUCGGGCCAAACCGGGUGCCGGGUGCCGCGGGAGGCCGAUUGCAAGUGUCGACAAGCAAUCGGAAUGCGAAAUGAGGUGGGUUGUGCUUACCGAAGCGACUAGGUCGCCUGUAUGUGUAAGAGAAAUGAGAUUUCAUAUUGAUGCAUAUUGACAUAAUGUAAGAAUGUGAAAAGAAUGCAUGUUAACAUACUAUAGAAAUACUAGAUAAAUGCAUAUGAUUAAUGCUUUGAAUGCAUAAUAUAAAGGGCGUAUGAAUGUUAGCAUUAUAAGAACAUCAUAAAAGGAAUCUAUGAUGACAUGUUGUAGAAUAUGCUGAAUGUAAUGCAUAAUGAAUUAAGUGCUAAAAGAAUGCAUGAGAUGCUAAGUAUGGACUAUUUUGGAUAAUGACUAUAUGUAUGUUGACAUAUCAUGUGAUGCUAGUGGUAUAUGUGCAUGAUGAUAUAUUAUGAAUUUACAUAUUGUGGAUUAUGUUAAAUAGAAAAACAUACUUGAUGACAUAUUGCCAUGUGGUGGAACAUAGUGGACAAUCUACAUAUAUAUUAGAUCGAGUGGCAUUAAACCUUGUAUCUUGAACCUAGCAAACACUUGUGGUGAUUGAGCAUGUAUAUUCUGGUGUCAUUCAUGUAUGUUAGGACCCUAUUAUUGUGUGAAUGUGAGAGUCGGACUUGGACAAUAGUAAACAAGGGUGACAAUGAAAAUAGAGACAUGAUUGGCAUCAAGAAAGUGGUUGUUAAAUAUAGUUUAACCAUAUUGACAUUGGUCCAAGUUGACAUAGAGAGUGGCAUGAUUAAAUAGGUAGAGACCUAUCAUGACAUUGGCAUUGUGACGAGUGGCUAUGAAUCCUCAAGUUGAGGAUUGGAUCGAUACUCACGUUACGUCUUGGCUUGAGGGAGGUAGCUCCCCCUCGGGCGGUGCGCUCCGGAGUUGGUCACCACUGGGCGUGGUAAAGUCCCCCCAGAUGACGGUCCCCAGGGAGGUUCGAGUCCCCCGUUAUUAAGGGAUUUUGGUAGUGAGUUAUUGGGGUUAACAUGGUUAACCGGUAAGAUUGGGUCAUAGCCAAAUGAGUGUACAACAAGUAUGCAUUAUGAGUUAUGGAUUUGGUAUCCUAGUCGAGAGGAUCUAGGGCUGAGGUGUAUGUGAGACGUCCAUCGCCUCGAGCCUGGUUCUAGUGCGGUACUCCGCAGACGAUUGACUCAAGACCGAGUCGGGUGGUUAGCCUUGUAAAGGUAGAUGAAACUUUAUGAUUAAAACGGUGAUUGACAAGAAUCUAAGAUAGAGGAAACCUUAGAUAUCAAAUGGAUGAGCUAUGGUUAGCAGAAUUGAAAGUAGUAUCGAAUGAACUACUAGUUGGUUGCAUAGUUGCAUUAUUGCAUGAUUUGCAUAUAGCAUUGCAUUAUUGCAUUCGUGAGGCAAUGCAUGGUUUUAUUCGUUGCAUAAUCAAGAUAUAUAUCUAUCUGUUUAUUGAACUAACUUGCAGUUGCCUCCCUUGGACCUAUUGGUCGAGCUUUUCCCUUGGGUGGCCGUACCCACUGGGAACCAUGGAGUUGGUUCUCACCCCACGUGGUUUUGGGGUGUUAUAGGUUCACACGUGAGCGGCGCCGCGCCGCGAGGCGAGGGCGUAGCUCCAUAGUUAGCGUCCUACCACCGAGACCAGAGAUAGUAGUACCCUGAGCCGGCUUUACUUAGGGAUGUAAGAAAAUGAAAGGAAUAAGAUUGUAAUAAUUUGUAAUAAAAGCAUGAUUGUAUUUGGAAGUUAAAUGUAUAAUGAAAUUGUGAUGUAAAUGUAUCUAAAUAAUGUGAAUGCUUGUAAUAGCAAGUAGGUUAUACUUCCUUAUGCAAUCUUUGAUUGAAAUGUGUUCCUGAUUGGAACUUCGUACAUUAUAUUGAUUGCGACGCUUUGAAUGUACAGGGGAGACUCUGUCCGCGGUACAGAAAAAAUCCUGUCCGUUCGGCGGUCUGUCGGCGUGCCCGAAACCAACCAAAUAGGCGGGCUCGGGGCGUGACAGAUAAGAUGGUAUCAGAGCAUAAAAAGAAACAUAAAAAGAAUAAUAGAAAAUGGUUUAGUUGGAACUAGGAGACCCUAGGAUAGCAAACCAUAGGAGAUUAAGGCUCGUGAGAGACAAGAACUUGUGACAAUUGGCGAAAGAUAAAUUGAUUGGGUUGUGUCGUAAACCUCUAAAAUGGAUGUUAGAGAUAGAUUCAAGGUGUGGUUUAUUCUCAACCGAUGGUGUUCGUGUUGGGCGCGCACAACACGAAACCGAGUGAUGAGAAUAGACGUCCUUGCGUGGCUUUCGCCCGAUUUGAGUCGGUAUUAGGUGUCUCGUGUUCGACCUAGAGGGUCGAGGAUUAAUAAAGUUGUCGUGUUUUAGGAAGCGAUAGCACCGCGUAGGCGAUCUUCAUUUAGAUCGGCGCGGGAUGGGCCGAGUGGUGUCCCUGGGCAAUUUGAGGCGAGCGGAGAUUGGGAACUUCGCGAGUGUUGGCGUCUCUCAUGAUCUUUGAGAAAUUAACGGAAUCCUCGCCGUGUUAGAUCACUUUUGGUCAGAUUGACCCAAGUGCGUCGAGAGAAGUAGUUGGACAAAGUCCAAUUGACAUUCCAACAAUGUUGGAAGGGUUAAAAUUGAGUUCUAAAAGAGUUAGAAAGGUUUUAGCGUUGCUCGGCGUGAAUUGGAGUCGAAGCGGUGCAAAAUCGAAAUUCUGGAACAUGUGUUACCGAUUUAACCCCAGGGGUGUACCAGUAUAGUAUGGUUGUAACGAAGUAAAUUCUCAAGAGUCGAGAGUUGGACUUCGACCAGGAUCAGCUAGUUGUCGAGUGGGUAUGUAAUAUACCGAAACUUCGAUAACCAAGCAUCGAACUUUAGUCAAAUUGGCCAAAGUGCGAGGUUGGUACACUUCGGAAAGGCCGAAGGCGUCAAAUAAUGCAAAAGUGCAUUACUGGGGAUCUUCGAGAGCUUUGUAAAUCAAAAUCUGCAAGACUGCAGGUUUUGUGCUCUCGGGGACCGGUCCCAGGUCGGGAAGACCGGUCCCCGAACGCGCAGGCAGCAAGAGGAGAGAAAAAUCGGCUAUGUUCCCGGUGGACAGCUCUCGGGAACCGGUCCCUGCGGGUAGAGACCGGUCCCCAAGAGACCGGUCCCAUCAGGGGAGACCGGUUGCCUCGUGCGUAGGUUGCGCAGACCGCGGGAGAAGCUCUCGGGGACCGGUCCCAGGCAGGGAGAGACCGGUCCCUCAGCACGAAAAUUGCCCAGUUUGGGCAGUGCACUGGAUAGAAAGUGGGAGGGCCUAUUUGCAAAUAUUGCAACAUGUUAUGUGCCUUAUCCCUCUCUCUCCCACAGCGGUGUGAGCUACGAGAGGGCGUUGAGGACAAUGCAACCUAAAGGUUCGCGGCGAGCGCCGGGUGGUCGUAGAUACACGACCCUGGUUGAGGAACCUGCUGCUGACGACGUCGUUGCAGGUAUGAGUUAUUGAUGCAAGCAUAUGUUUUGCAAGAUCUGAAGUUGAUGCAUUGCAUGCAAUGGUUAUGUGGUUAAUCACUAUUGUCAUGCAUGAGCAUAGUAGAGACCGAGUGGAUGGGUAAAUAUAGAUAUUCGGGCAUGCUCGUGUUGUAAGGGCGCAGUAUCUGCCAGUACAGGUAUAGAGCCAGAUGGCAUUAGCGAAGUGCUAGAAGUAAUUUAUGGCGAGAAGUGAGACUCGCGGUAGAGAUAGAAGUGGCGAAAUGACUCUCAGAGCAAUAUGAGUUGUAAAUUGCGAGAGUUGAGCCAUGAUGCUUAUGAGAACACCCGAGUGGCUCGAAAAUUUCGGAUGUCAUUCCGGUAGAUCGAACAGUGAAAGUAACAUCACUGUUGAGAGAAAAGCCGAUUAGUGGCCAAGUUUGAGCACGUGGGCCUAGUAGUACCUCAAGGUGAGGUAGGCAGUUGUGCUCGUGCAGCCGGUGUGCAUAGGCAAGAUUGCCUAAUGCUGGACUUCGUGUGGAACGCUGUAGAGGCGUAGAGCGCUCGAGUGUAGAAACCCGUAGAGUGCGGAUGUGGAUUCAGCCGAGAAAGUGUAUUGGCAGUAGCACUUGAGCAUUGCUAGGUGUGAAGCGUGUCAUGGAUCACUCGUGGGACUGGUGACUCGCAUUAGGUGCAUAGUAGCCGGUAGUGAUACGUGUACUCGGUAGAGCAUGUCGUGUAGGACGACGACGGCGGGUAGUGCUUAGGGACGACCCGUGCAUGGAACAUUUGUGGACUGUAGAGCCUGGGCCCUUUGGGCAGGCGCAGUCAGCUGUGAGUGACAGCGGCCCGGUACCUACGGGUAGGGCAGAGUUCUGAUCAGGACGGUAGUCCGAGUUUAGGCCCGGGAGCGUGGAAUGCCACGCGAUAGAUUGUGUGACCGAUGGUACACCGAGUAUGGUUGUGACCCAACCCGAGCACUUGACGUGGUUUGGGAUCUUAGUUGCUCCUGAUUGGAGUGUGUGCGAAUUUCCAAGUGAGAAUUUCGCCCGAUCAUGAUUGGGUCUGCAUUUGCGAGCGAGAGACGCUGCAUAUUGAGACGGGUUUAGGUGGUAGGCCUACAUAGGAUUGGUGGCCUUUGGUCCACCCGUGGAGACCGACGAGAGCGAUUUGGCAUAUAUCCUUAUCGAGGAGUUUGACUCGAAUUCACGAACGGAGUGCUUGCGUGAGCUCGUUGCGAAAAUAGUUUGAUGUUCAUCGUGGCAUGUGGUAUCAGAUGAUGAAGUACUCAUUGUGAGACAUCAAAUGAGUAGAAAGCCACGUGAUGUUGGAGAUUAUGGUCGUAAGGGAACUAAGACUUGAGAGGUGCCGAAUUGGGCCAUCUCACGUUAAAGUUAAGGGUCAGUGCGAAAUUAGAGCACUCAUAAUGGAGCGAUGCAUCGGUGAUAUUGCUUUUAAGCAAUGUCGGUGAUCGAAUCAGAACGUAUUCCCUGAAGGGAAGGUAAGUGCAAAGAAGAGUUCCUUGUGUACCGAAUGGCGAGUGGUGUUGGAGCGCGUAGAGUCGUCGAGUAUCGACUUGCGCUGCCACUAUGACUUGCAAGACCCGUGUUGUACUUUUGUAUCACACUUUGUAAAUGUGUUCAGGAUUAAAUCCACGUCCUUCAGUAUGAGCCGGUUCUGGAACAACGACUGUGUGAAGCCGCUUUGGAGUGGGAGAAUGAGUUGGUACUCACGGAGCUGAAUUGAGGCGUGGUUUGAAUUUCGCGGACGAAAUUCUUUUAAGGGGUGGAGAAUGUAACAUGCCAGAUUUUGGUAUAAAAAUAAAAAUAAAUAAAAAUAGUGUGAUAAACUAUUUUUAUUGAAUUUAGAGAAGUAAAACAUAAGUCAGAAGUGACUUGUGCUGAAAUCGGAAUGAAAACAGAAGAUUUAGAAUUUUAUGUUGGAAACGGGACAGGUAAAUUAGCAGAAAAUGCACAGUCUCAGAAAAUUAUGAAAAUUGGAGGAUAAGUCAAAAAUAUUUUUAUGAGGCUAGAUUUCAAGUUUCAUAUUUUUCUGACACCCGUAGAGUGAGAAAUAAAAUCCGACAGCUAUCUGAUAAAGAUUACAGUUCGGUACAGUUUUCAGUGGCCAAAUGGGGUCGAAACUGAAAACUUAAAAUAUAUUCUUACUCAGUACGUAAAACCAAAUAUGACUGUCAAGUUUGAGCUCAAACGGACAUUCAGGGAGUUCCGGCGAAAGUUAUCAGAUUUCAAGCUGCUUGGAAGUGAAUAGUGUUGGGGUGUAAUUAAA